This 284-nucleotide long non-coding RNA is filed under the name Vitis vinifera (wine grape). RNAcentral describes it as "long non-coding RNA (VVIN_LNC000659)". Lineage: Eukaryota; Viridiplantae; Streptophyta; Magnoliopsida; Vitales; Vitaceae. The record is from RNAcentral.
CCCCUCCUGAGCCUGAAUGCCCCCCACCUCCACCUCCAUCUCCACCUCCACCUCCACCUCCAUCUCCACCUCCACCUCCAUCUCCACCUCCACCUCCACCUCCAUCUCCACCUCCACCUCCAUCUCCACCUCCACCUCCACCUCCAUCUCCACCUCCACCCCCUCCUCCACCCCCUCCUCCUCCUCCUCCUCCACCUCCUCCUCCUCCUCCGCCUCCGCCUCCUCCUCCUCCACCAGUCGAUCGCAAUGCGAGACUUAAAAUUGCUCUAAAAGCAAUCAGGAUA